Passer domesticus (house sparrow) is the source of this 1457-nucleotide long non-coding RNA. RefSeq lists it as uncharacterized. The transcript is spliced from 2 exons. NCBI's taxonomy places the organism in Eukaryota, Metazoa, Chordata, Aves, Passeriformes, Passeridae. The record is from RefSeq and is a predicted model, not a curated record.
CACUGCUUUUAAAUCAAGUUAUCUGUCUCUUUCUAGAUGGAGAAAUAUCUUCCUCUUUCUUUUUUAAUAAGGUAUGAUAUAGUGGAAGGAGGAAACAUUUUCAGAAAUAGCUCUAGUAAUCUCUGAGAGACUCCAGAAAAAGUCUGGAAGGAACAGUCAAUUGCACACACUUGAAUCUGGAUGUUUUAUUAUUCGGAUUUUUUUGACAAAACUAUGAGAAAACCUCCCCCAGAUGGAUGCCUGUGUUUCAUAUCUACUACCCAUCUGGCAACCAGACAUACCUGAAAUGGUUCGGAAAAGUGGAAAAAAAAAAUCAGGCUUUAAAAGAUCUGAGCUCCUUAAAAAUUUGGCUCAAUAUGCAGUACAAAGUGUCUGUCUGUUGUGUACCACCUUCUCACGCUGUUUUCCUUCAAAUUUCAGACAUAUAAGGAAUUGGUUGCAUGGUUUACUAGAAAAUGUGGUAUGGAUAGAUACAUUUGUAAUUUGAUUUGUCUGGCUGUAUAUAGUAAGCACUGUAAUAAUAUAGCAUUAUCCUGUAUUAUAUGGCAUGCUCUCAAAUGCACCCAGGGAGAUCCACCCUGGGUGGAGAGCAUGGAGCUUGGCUGAGCAUGGUGGCUUUUUAAAAAAAUAAAGUAACACAUGCCUGGGACCUUAAGUUUAUCACUUAACCUCUUAGUGAAUGAAGUUGUCUUGAGUACAUUUGGUCCUGAGUGGACCAAAAUGCAUUUCUACUGAAAUAUGAUUGACUGUGGGAGAUUUUUGUGCUCUGCUUAGGUUUAGGAGUUUAUUCAAUGUCAUCAUUGUAAAACUUUCACUUGUAUGUUAUUUUGGCAAAGCUUUUCUUUUGCAAAAUAUUUUUUAUAAGCCUGGUGGCAGUGGAAUGAUAUUUUUAUUCAGAAAGAAAAAAUAACUUUGCUACUGUACUAACUCUUCUCCCUCCUCUCUGGGAGUAGUCCAAAAAUAAUGCAUCAUAAGAUGAACUAUGUAUUAUGCACUUGUACUUACUUUUACUGAAACUCAAAGCAACACAGUAUCUUCUAGUUGGUAAAACAAUAGAACUUAAAAGAUAAAUCCAUAAAUGAGCAAGAACAAAGAAAUUUUGGCUUUUGCCUUUGGGAUCACCCAUUAGCAGAUUUUCUUUACUUAUUUUUCAAUUUGCAUGCCAUAUUUUCAAGGCAGUUGUGAAGUGAAGCAAUCAAAACUAGCAGAGGUGGAGCAUCAAAAUCUCCAGUUCAUAUGAAACCAACAUUGAUCUAAAUUUGCCACAGUGUCAAUAUGCCAUCACAGACGUAAAUAGCAUGUGCCUAUUAAACAAAGGAAAGAAGCUUCCUUGGACUUAUUUUCAGGUAUAAAAAAACCCCUAAAUUUUCUGCCUUUUGUAUUUGUUUUUCCCUUAUGAAAAUUACAUGCAGGUCUUGGCAUACUAUAAAAAAUCCAAUAAACUUAGUCUUUGUAAA